GGGCUUGGCGGCAGCUACACAUGCAGUCCGAACGGUAGCACAGAGAAGCUUGCUCCUCCGGGUGACGAAGUGGCGGACGGGUGAGUAAUGUCUGGGAAACUGCCUGAUGGAGGGGGAUAACUACUGGAAACGGUAGCUAAUACCGCAUAACGUCGCAAGACCAAAGAGGGGGACCUUCGGGCCUCUUGCCAUCAGAUGUGCCCAGAUGGGAUUAGCUAGUAGGUGGGGUAACGGCUCACCUAGGCGACGAUCCCUAGCUGGUCUGAGAGGAUGACCAGCCACACUGGAACUGAGACACGGUCCAGACUCCUACGGGAGGCAGCAGUGGGGAAUAUUGCACAAUGGGCGCAAGCCUGAUGCAGCCAUGCCGCGUGUAUGAAGAAGGCCUUCGGGUUGUAAAGUACUUUCAGCGGGGAGGAAGGUGAUGAGGUUAAUAACCUUGUCGAUUGACGUUACCCGCAGAAGAAGCACCGGCUAACUCCGUGCCAGCAGCCGCGGUAAUACGGAGGGUGCAAGCGUUAAUCGGAAUUACUGGGCGUAAAGCGCACGCAGGCGGUCUGUCAAGUCGGAUGUGAAAUCCCCGGGCUCAACCUGGGAACUGCAUUCGAAACUGGCAGGCUAGAGUCUUGUAGAGGGGGGUAGAAUUCCAGGUGUAGCGGUGAAAUGCGUAGAGAUCUGGAGGAAUACCGGUGGCGAAGGC
RNAcentral lists this ribosomal RNA (700 nucleotides) under Klebsiella oxytoca. RNAcentral describes it as "bacterial SSU rRNA". It matches the Rfam family "Bacterial small subunit ribosomal RNA", at positions 33 to 722 of the family's 1533-position model. Lineage: Bacteria; Pseudomonadati; Pseudomonadota; Gammaproteobacteria; Enterobacterales; Enterobacteriaceae. The record is from RNAcentral.